This 491-nucleotide ribosomal RNA is filed under the name Vairimorpha bombi. RNAcentral describes it as "SSU rRNA". It matches the Rfam family "Microsporidia small subunit ribosomal RNA", at positions 1 to 483 of the family's 1311-position model. The record is from RNAcentral. Lineage: Eukaryota; Fungi; Microsporidia; Nosematidae.
UCACCAGGUUGAUUCUGCCUGACGUAGACGCUAUUCCCUAAGAUUAACCCAUGCAUGUUUUUGAAGAUUAUUAUCUGAAAAAUGGACUGCUCAGUAAUACUCACUUUAUUUUAUGUGCACCGCAGAUAACUACGUUAAAGUGUAGAUAACAUGUGUACAGUAAGAGUGAGACCUAUCAGCUAGUUGUUAGGGUAAUGGCUUAACAAGGCAGUGACGGGUAACGGUAUUACUUUGUAAUAUUCCGGAGAAGGAGCCUGAGAGACGGCUACUAAGUCUAAGGAUUGCAGCAGGGGCGAAACUUGACCUAUGGAUUUUAUCUGAGGCAGUUAUGGGAAGUAAUAUAUUAUUGUUUCAUAUUUUAAAAAUAUAUGAGGUGAUUAAUUGGAGGGCAAAUCAAGUGCCAGCAGCCGCGGUAAUACUUGUUCCAAGAGUGUGUAUGAUGAUUGAUGCAGUUAAAAAGUCCGUAGUUUAUUUUUAAGAAGCAAAUAUGA